This 633-nucleotide ribosomal RNA is filed under the name uncultured eukaryote. Its description in RNAcentral is "SSU rRNA". It matches the Rfam family "Eukaryotic small subunit ribosomal RNA", at positions 341 to 999 of the family's 1831-position model. The record is from RNAcentral.
CUACCAUGGCAGUCACGGGUAACGGAGAAUUAGGGUUCGAUUCCGGAGAGGGAGCCUGAGAAACGGCUACCACAUCUACGGAAGGCAGCAGGCGCGCAAUUUGCCCAAUCCCGACACGGGGAGGCAGUGACAAGAAAUAACAACUCUAGGUUUUCUUAGAAGUGUAAUGAGGAUAAUUUACAAACCUUACCAAAUGCAAUUGGAGGGCAAGUCUGGUGCCAGCAGCCGCGGUAAUUCCAGCUCCAAUAGCGUAUAUUAAAGUUGUUGCAGUUAAAAAGCUCGUAGUUGAAAAUCUGAUUGCUCAGGUCUCCAGCCUUUAGGCGGGGAUUCUGACAGUCAUCCGCUUGCAAACAUAUGUUCGAUCUUCACCGGUUGGCUAUGUGAGUAAGCACUUUACCUUGAGAAAAACAGAGUGUUCCAGGCAGGUUUGUCCGGAAUGCAUUAGCAUGGAAUAAUAGAACAUGACUGAAGUCUAUUUAUUGGUUAAAGGCUUUAGUAAUGAUUAAUAGGAACAGUCGGGGGCAUUCGUACUCAGCAGUCAGAGGUGAAAUUCUAAGAUUUGCUGAAGACGAACUAAUGCGAAAGCAUUUGCCAAGGAUGUUUUCAUUAAUCAAGAACGAAAGUUAGGGGAUC